RNAcentral lists this ribosomal RNA (469 nucleotides) under uncultured bacterium. Its description in RNAcentral is "partial 16S ribosomal RNA". It matches the Rfam family "Bacterial small subunit ribosomal RNA", at positions 27 to 507 of the family's 1533-position model. The record is from RNAcentral.
GGACGAACGCUGGCGGCGUGCUUAACACAUGCAAGCCGAACGGAAAGGCCCUGCUUUUGUGGGGUGCUCGAGUGGCGAACGGGUGAGUAACACGUGAGUAACCUGCCCUUGACUUUGGGAUAACUUCAGGAAACUGGGGCUAAUACCGGAUAGGAGCUCCUGCUGCAUGGUGGGGGUUGGAAAGUUUCGGCGGUUGGGGAUGGACUCGCGGCUUAUCAGCUUGUUGGUGGGGUAGUGGCUUACCAAGGCUUUGACGGGUAGCCGGCCUGAGAGGGUGACCGGCCACAUUGGGACUGAGAUGCGGCCCAGACUCCUACGGGAGGCAGCAGUGGGGAAUAUUGCACAAUGGGCGGAAGCCUGAUGCAGCAACGCCGCGUGCGGGAUGACGGCCUUCGGGUUGUAAACCGCUUUCGCCUGUGACGAAGCGUGAGUGACGGUAAUGGGUAAAGAAGCACCGGCUAACUACGUG